GAUGAACGCUGGCGGCGUGCUUAACACAUGCAAGUCGAACGGGAAAUAUUUCAUUGAGACUUCGGUGGAUUUGAUUUAUUUCUAGUGGCGGACGGGUGAGUAACGCGUGGGUAACCUGCCUUAUACAGGGGGAUAACAGUCAGAAAUGGCUGCUAAUACCGCAUAAGCGCACAGAGCUGCAUGGCUCAGUGUGAAAAACUCCGGUGGUAUAAGAUGGACCCGCGUUGGAUUAGCUAGUUGGGGGGGUAACGGCCCACCAAGGCGACGAUCCAUAGCCGGCCUGAGAGGGUGAACGGCCACAUUGGGACUGAGACACGGCCCAGACUCCUACGGGAGGCAGCAGUGGGGAAUAUUGCACAAUGGGGGAAACCCUGAUGCAGCGACGCCGCGUGAAGGAAGAAGUAUCUCGGUAUGUAAACUUCUAUCAGCAGGGAAGAUAGUGACGGUACCUGACGAAGAAGCCCCGGCUAACUACGUG
RNAcentral lists this ribosomal RNA (478 nucleotides) under uncultured bacterium. RNAcentral describes it as "partial 16S ribosomal RNA". It matches the Rfam family "Bacterial small subunit ribosomal RNA", at positions 28 to 507 of the family's 1533-position model. The record is from RNAcentral.